This is a long non-coding RNA of Lepisosteus oculatus (spotted gar), 1623 nucleotides long. The record is from Ensembl. Lineage: Eukaryota; Metazoa; Chordata; Actinopteri; Semionotiformes; Lepisosteidae.
UGCUUCACAAACUGUCCAGGUUAAUGGCUGCCAUAUCCAUGUCCCAGACUAAAGCACCACUUUGAUUUCGGGCACAGUCUCUGUCUGCGCUGCCCCGGCUGCUCUCCUGGACCGGCCCAGGACUCGCCGGUGUCCUCCCAGUGCAGAUGUCCCACUGCUGAUUAAAGGCCGUUAAUUAUCCAGCUGACCAGGGUCUGUCCUGACGUGUCCGCCCUGACGUGUCCGCAGAGCGUCGCACCGCAACAAUAUUCUCGCAGUUCUGUCUUUAGAGUGGCGUGGGCUGAUUUAGACUCUGUGUCAGAUGAGUUAAAAAAGUGAAGGCAGCUGUGGGCCUCGCUCGCCCAGCACCCUCGGGUUUCGAGUAGAUAACAGAUUCUCUUACCCCCGGACCCGAGACCCGUCCUGAACUCGGACCGAACCGGCUUCCCUCCUCCGGGCGCAGCCGGCUGUGGACUACACAUCCCGGCGUGCACCGCACGGCCGGUCUUCCGCCCCCCCCCGAAUUAAGCAGGACGUCGCUGUGCUCCGGCGUUGCUGACAGCAUGGCAAAGCUGUUUAAGGGUUCGUGGGCAAAUAUCCCACAAGCAACGCGACUUACUCGCCGGGGUUCACGCUUCCUGGCGGACUAGGCUGGGGCCCGGCUGUGUUGCGCCUGUGGACAGCGCGGACCGGCAGCUGCACCGGGCUCUAGCUGGGGUCCCAGAGCCGUGACAGCCCCUUCACCAAGCCCACCCUCUGGGUCAGCGGGGGGCCGGAAACGACGCGGUGUUUCAAAAGCCUUGCGGGUUGCGGCAAACGUGAGGAUCACCCUGCUCUCUCGUCUCUUCGUCCCCACGCGAAGCAGGAACUGAAAUCCACCGGACACGGGUUUCCCGUCGGGGCGAGAAGGGGGACGGACGCCUCGCUGCCAGGUGGGGGAGAUGAUGGCGAUAAACAAAGGGAGGUCUCAGCCGCAGGAGCCGUGAGCGGAGACGGGUUCGUCCAGGUAAUCUGAGCAUCUCCUUCCCUGGGGCCGCGCCGUGCGAGACCGGGAGACACACGGCUGUUACUUCUCCGGCCUUCUUCACCGUGGCCCCGGGAGAAAGAGACCCCCUUUCGACCGAAAACAAGCCGAAACGGUUCUUGAAUGAAUUCUGCCUGCCGUGAAAGUCAUUUCACUGUAAAUCUUCGUACGGGGUUACGUCUCUGAACAGGGUGCCGAGUAACUAACAUUAUUUAUGUGUUAGUUUAAUAGUUUCAUUGAGCCCGGUCUUAGCGGACCCCCUCCGCCCUGUCCGGUAAACGUCUCCGGUACAGCGGAGUCAAGUGUGCGGGGCUGCACCUCUUGCUCACACCUUUGUGAGAUGAACUACUGUUGCUUAGUUGCCUUGCGCCGCUGUGAAUCAUCAUCAUGUCAGAUUUAAACAUCGCUCCCUGCCCUUGAGAGCGAGCAGCGUCUGCAGGGAGACGGCGCACCGGCGUGUUCUCAUCCCGUCAUCCCCAGACUGACCAGGAGUCCACAGCUUUAAGAUAGAUCCCUUUAUUGGCCAGAUACGAUUUCUUGCAUUAGGAAUCUGUCUUCUCACAGACCCCAGCUUGCUCUCUAUGAGACACACACACAUUGAGAGAAGCUGGGGGUCAGAG